RNAcentral lists this transfer RNA (99 nucleotides) under Laccaria bicolor S238N-H82. It matches the Rfam family "tRNA". Rfam says of the family: Transfer RNA (tRNA) molecules are approximately 80 nucleotides in length. The record is from Rfam by way of RNAcentral. Lineage: Eukaryota; Fungi; Basidiomycota; Agaricomycetes; Agaricales; Hydnangiaceae.
GUCCUUGUUGAUUAGUGGUGAAAUCAUCUCGUUGUGGUAUUUGCGGCUUAAAUCUGUACAUAUUUCGAGAUGCCGGAAGUUCAAAUCCUCCCUGGGACA